Molecule: ribosomal RNA, 442 nt
Filed under: uncultured Anaerolineaceae bacterium
Lineage: Bacteria; Bacillati; Chloroflexota; Anaerolineae; Anaerolineales; Anaerolineaceae
Description: bacterial SSU rRNA
Rfam family: Bacterial small subunit ribosomal RNA
Source: RNAcentral
CACAAGCAGCGGAGCGUGUGGUUAAUUCGAUGCUACACGAAGAACCUUACCAGGGUUUGACAUGUAAGUGGUAGUGAUCUGAAAAGUGAACGACCCUUCGGGGAGCUUACACAGGUGCUGCAUGGCUGUCGUCAGCUCGUGUCGUGAGAUGUUCGGUUAAGUCCGCUAACGAGCGCAACCCUCACUGUGUGUUAUACGUGUCACACGGGACUGCCGGUUUUAAGCCGGAGGAAGGCGAGGAUGACGUCAAGUCAGCAUGGCCUUUAUAUCCUGGGCUACACACACGCUACAAUGGGUGAUACAACAGGUUGCAAUAGAGUAAUCUGGAGCCAAUCCCUAAAAUCAUCCUCAGUACGGAUUGCAGGCUGCAACUGCCUGCAUGAAGUUGGAGUUGCUAGUAAACGCAGGUCAGCACACUGCGUUGAAUACGUUCUCGGGCCUU